Molecule: long non-coding RNA, 2657 nt
Filed under: Zea mays
Lineage: Eukaryota; Viridiplantae; Streptophyta; Magnoliopsida; Poales; Poaceae
Description: long non-coding RNA (ZMAY_LNC005088)
Source: RNAcentral
GUCGCAGCGCCAAACAUCGGUCUCUGCCCCCCUCCUGAUUUUCCCAAGGUUUUGUUUUUCAAUGUUUUGUUUGCUAGUGUAAAUUCAAUGUUUAUGUUUUUUCGACAAUGCCUAAGACAGCUGCUGGUAUGUCUCAAUCUGAUGAACUGAAAAUACAGUAAAGCCUAAAAGAGUGAGGCUACCUGAGCUAGCUAGAGGAGCUACAUUACUACAUAGUUGUUGGUCCUAAGACUCUCUCUAGGUCCUAGUGUAAAAUAAGAUACGCAAAACUUUAAUAACACUGGUUGCGGAGUAUAGCUUGAAAUAGGGAAUGAGAUAAAGUAUCUGAUAAAAGAUAGCCUAAGUCCCUGCUAAGGUAGAAGACCGAUUUAUGCUAAUUACAUUCUCUCUUUUUUUAGAGAGAGAGAGGUCGUGCUACUGGUACAAUGCAUCCAUGUGACCUGACCCGUCGGAUGCAGCUACUGUAUAGUAGUACCCAAACCAAAUGAUCAAUAUUCAUACGCUGCUGCGUCAGGCCAUCGCUUUGACCAGCGUACAAUCCUAAAUAUCUCAUGCCCAACUGCACGUCGGCACCCACACACAUCUAGCAGGCUGCAGGCCCCAUUGGCUGGCACCCGGGCCUAUGCUGCUCUGCGUCCAUGAUCAGACAGCAGAUACCAGUGUCGCAGCCUAUUCUCUGGUCACCACUCACCACUGCUGGAUCAAUCUUACAGGCUGCAGCUCCCAAGGGGGCAAUGCACACAGUAUGUAUGUGCCUGUCUGCACGUCAAUGGCAAUGGGAUUCUGGCCGGUGACGCAGAAAACUUCAGAUGCAGCGGGCACAGGACAGCAGGAGGAGGCAGAAGGGAGUUUUUGGUGUCUUGUCGUUUCAAUCUUGCGGCCUUUCAUUCUCCCCGCUCCCCCGUUCAGUGCAGAUCUCAUGCAAAACAUGAGACCAAACUUGUUGAGAGGCAUGGAGAUGCAGCAGGCAUCAGAAACACACAGGACCAUCAACCCUAGUGCACUGCAAACCAUGUGUUGAGCGGGCUGGCAGUCACAGAAGAACAGCGUCCAUGCAGGCCGGCUGUGGCUUCACUGGCUUGUGAUCUCCAGUACGUCCAGGCUGCACACCUUUGCUGGCAAUCAUGCCGGCCGGCUCUACAGCUCUCCGUUCGCUACCACCCAUCUCUGUCUUUUCUCCCCUACUACUCCUGUUCCAAGGGAGCCGCCGCAUCAAAUGCUGCUUGGUUCUCACCCAACCUGUGCAAUACAUUCAUCACUGCUGCCAUAAAGGAACCUGUAGCUCUCUUUUUUUUGUACGUUUCUCAUUAAGAGGAAAGCAGUCGAAGUACAAAUCAUACGUCUCCAGUAAAACCUAGGCUUUUCGCGACAUGGAAUUGUAGUUUAAUAAAUCCUGAAGUCCUUUCGGAUAGAUUUCCUAGAAGAUGUUCACUCAGAGUCGUGUUCUAGCCUAUGAUUACCUAUGCACUUGUCGGCUAGCUUCUAGCCUUUCCACUGUCAAUUGGUGGGGGGAAAUCAAAUUAUCUCACUGUGAAAGUGGUACACUGACGACAGUCUGUUUUCCAUGAUGUUUUGUCUGUCAGCUAGCAGCUUCUACUGAUUCUGCAAGAAUCACAAGAUUCAACAAUGAAAAUGAAGCUCAAGCUGAUGCGCUGAACUUCGGACAGUCUUCAGGUUCACUAAAAAACAAGAAAGUGACUUCAGCUUUCAGCAUACUGCUGUACAUUCUUGAUUCCCAUUAACCGAGAAUAUAGAGGUCGAAGCUAACACAUAAUUUAACACUUCCCAGACCCAGAAAGUACAGCUGACAUUAGAGUUGCUUCGGUAGGCUUUCUGUUAGACUGUUACUGGUUUUGGAUCGCUAGCUUGUUGAGCAAUUUCAGCAUCACCUGUGGCAGACUAAAACGACGCCUUUAGGUAAACACCUACUAUAUAUCUGUACAUGGAUAUGAUAAGAGUGAGGUGAAAGGGCUAAUGGUUAAGGCUCUCGUUUAGCGCCUUUAGGUCCCGGUUCGAUCCCCCUUGGAAGCGAAUCUCGGGUUUGGUUAAAAAAAUCUUUGCUGUGCUCCACCCGCUCUCAAGGUUACGUCCUGCGCACCACCCUCUAGCUGGACCGUUGUAGAGUGAACGAUGACGGCACGCUAGUGAUGGGGAGCCAUAUUUCUGUCUCUUCUUAAUAUAAUAUCAAUAUCGGGAGAACGGUUUUUUCUUCCACGGUCGAGUUUUUUUUUUUUUAUGAUAAGAGCGAGUAUACCUCAUAAUUCUGAUUUCUCCAGGUUGGAAGUUGGCCUCUUCUGAUGAACACUCGGUAUUGUGGCAGUCAUUGGAUUCUCGUCUAUAGAAGGGCACCAUGCAAGCAUGUGCCGCUUAUUUCUUUAAUUUGGUUCCCUGGCUCUUGUGGAGUAAUUCUAGCACUCAGAAGAUGUUUCUCUUGAUGAUAUAUAUAUACACUGUCACCAGCAAAACAGCUGAACUUCUCAUCCUAGAUCAUGUCCAAAGGCAGUCUAGGUUCAGUGCAGAUUUGUAUUCAUGCAAGCAUACAAUGAUAUGAUAAUACUAACAUAGUAUACGCUGCUGCCAGAGACAAUUAAGACUGAACAGUUUUUUUUUUUUGGGAACAGAUAGAUUUGACCACAUUGUUUUUUGUUUUAUAACAG